This 253-nucleotide ribosomal RNA is filed under the name uncultured prokaryote. RNAcentral's name for it is "partial 16S ribosomal RNA". It matches the Rfam family "Bacterial small subunit ribosomal RNA", at positions 525 to 777 of the family's 1533-position model. The record is from RNAcentral.
ACGAAGGUGGCGAGCGUUGUUCGGAAUCACUGGGCAUAAAGCGCACGUAGGCGGUGUCGUAAGUCGGAUGUGAAAUCCCUCGGCCUAACCGGGGAACUGCGUCUGAUACUGGUCGGCUUGAGUUUGGGAGAGGGACGCGGAAUUCCAGGUGUAGCGGUGAAAUGCGUAGAUAUCUGGAGGAACACCGGUGGCGAAGGCGGCGUCCUGGACCAACACUGACACUGAUGAGCGAAAGCCAGGGGAGCAAACGGGA